GAUGAACGCUAGCGGGAGGCUUAACACAUGCAAGUCGAGGGGCAGCAUAGGGUAGCAAUACUCUGAUGGCGACCGGCAAACGGGUGAGUAACGCGUAUGCAACCUACCCUGUACAGGGGGAUAACCCGGAGAAAUUCGGACUAAUAUCCCGUAAUAAUAUCCGGAGGCAUCUUUGGAUAUUUAAAGUUCCGACGGUACGGGAUGGGCAUGCGUAACAUUAACUGGUUGGUAAGGUAACGGCUUACCAAGGCUAUGAUGUUUAGGGGUCCUGAGAGGGUGGUCCCCCACACUGGUACUGAGACACGGACCAGACUCCUACGGGAGGCAGCAGUGAGGAAUAUUGGUCAAUGGGCGCAAGCCUGAACCAGCCAUCCCGCGUGCAGGAAGACGGCCCUAUGGGUUGUAAACUGCUUUUCCAGGGAGAGAAACUUACGCACGUGUUGCGUGACUGACGGUACCCUGGGAAUAAGCAUCGGCUAACUCCGUGCCAGCAGCCGCGGUAAACACGGGAGUA
This 514-nucleotide ribosomal RNA is filed under the name uncultured bacterium. Its description in RNAcentral is "bacterial SSU rRNA". It matches the Rfam family "Bacterial small subunit ribosomal RNA", at positions 28 to 533 of the family's 1533-position model. The record is from RNAcentral.